Molecule: long non-coding RNA, 1970 nt
Filed under: Coturnix japonica (Japanese quail)
Lineage: Eukaryota; Metazoa; Chordata; Aves; Galliformes; Phasianidae
Description: lncRNA (ENSCJPG00005003617.1)
Source: RNAcentral
AAUGCUCCAGUCACGCCCUCCCCCGCCCGCCCUCCCCUCCCCCCCGGACCUGGUUUACGACACUGGGUGGUUUUACUUUUACAUCACCUUCCUACACCUAGUGCUCGGCCGGAACCUUGUUGCCAGGGGAGACCGGCGCUUUACGGCAGCGAGUUUGAACGGCGGCGGGGGAAUAAGGCGCUGCCACAGGUAUUUGUUCAGUGGUUUUGCAUAUCUAUCUCCAGCGGGUGUGAAUUGGCUGUUGACUUCACUACCUGGGAGUGCUUAGGGAAGGGUGACAAAUCAAACAGUGCAAAGUGUUCCCAGGGACUAACAGAAGGUGCUUCAAAGGAUUUGCCUUGGCAUUAGGAGAUCGGAUCUCCAGAUACAAGGGUGACUGAAAAUCGCAGCGUGGGACUUGAGAUGAAAGUGAGAAGUCAGGAAAGUUUUCUUGGGAGAGUGAAUGGCCAAGUGUAAGGCAGGGUUCUGCCCUGCCAUAACAGCUCAACAUCUUGGCUUCUUGUGUAGAAGAUGGCCCUGCAUGUGGAACUGCCUGCAGAAGGGGUUGCUUCAAGAUUACAUUGCUUCAGGAUUCUUGAAUGUGUUUAUCAUUCUGUGGAUGAAUGUGACCACAAUGACAUGCACAAGUUUUCGUGCUAAAUUUCCAACUCUUUGAAACUUGUCGUGUUUUAGAAGGCAAUUGCAAAACAAAGAAUAAUAACUAUAAUUAAUACAAUAUACAAAAAUAAUACAAGUAUACUGGUAGAUCUGUAACCCCAUGCCCUGCAAGCACAUGCAAAAUUCCAGGCCCCUCUCACAUUCAGGUCGCCUGUUUGCAUUCCGUUCUGUCUCUCAUCACCUCUGUACAGGAAUCCUUGUCUGUUCAUUCUGAGCAAGCUGUGCUUGCUAACAGUACAAAGAAAGAAGCAGCCUCCUGCCACUUGUUGCUCCUUUACACCCAGCUGUAGUGUCAGUGAACACAGGGCCCUGAGGUCUCUGAGCUGCUGGAGAAAUGACACCAUGCCCAGCAUACCCUGAGAGCAGAACUGAGGCUGGCAGGAGCAUUCCUACCUCUGUGCUGCCAUACCUGGAUAAAUGAAAGAAAAUCAAAGCAGUCUCUGAAUACUACAUCUUUGAUACCGAGGAGGUCUAGAAACUAAAGAGCGCGGUGUUUUACAUCAAGUUAUCAGUUAUCACAAUCACUGGGGAAAGCUUUUCAUUCAGAGCUUGUAAACAGGCGUGUGGGUGGGUGGGUUGGUUGUGGCUUUUUUCUUUUUUAAGCAACACCACUUUGAUAUAUUUAAUUGCAAAAACCGGGAACCUCGUGUCUUUCUAUACCAAGUUUAUUUACUCUGCUAAAAAAGAUCACAGUUAAGGAUGCAGCCGCUAUGAAAGAGUGCUUUUGCCUACUGCAUUCUUCUAAUUGUGGAUGCAAAUCCACUUGUUAAAAUUCCUGCUAUUUCUGUGGAGUUCUGCAAUAUCUGAGCACAUGGGAGGCAUAAUCUAAAUUAUAUAUACACCCUGCAAGUAAGAACGAAGAAUCCUUGUUGUGGAGUACAGCUUUCAAUCUGCCUUCUCAGUCAGUGCAGGACUUAAUUAAUGCACUAGUUCAUAGGAUCGAGGCAAAGCAGCGUGUUUCUGCAUCCUCCUGGAUGGUGUGGGCUUGGCAAGAUAUUUCUUUAUAGGAUGGGGUGUAAGGCAGUGGUUGUUCAAUUUGUCUCUGGCAACAUAGCUGUGGUGUGUUUCAGUUGCCUGAAUAGGCACAAUGUCAUUGAAAUGUUAGGUCGGCUACACUUACCUGAGAUUUAUUUGCAUCAUCUGAAGACAGAAGUUAUCAUAGCUCAAGAAUCCUGCUGGAAUAUAGAUGCCUGCAGACCGCAUCUUGGGAUAUCAUCAGCUGAUGAUUAUUACAAGCUGUUUUUGCCGACAUAAUGUAAGCUGAAUUUACAUUAUUGAAUAAAAGCAGUCAGUCGUCUAUUUGUAUGCCUACU